GGAAAUAACAUAUACAAUGAUAUGAUAUAACUUAAAUUCUAUAUUCUGUGAAACUGAGAAGAAGUCUCCCGAGUUGGUGAACUGUGAUGUGUAGGCAAGGCGAAGUUUUGAUGUAAUCCAGGCCUACAUGCUAGUGUCAGUGUGUGAUUUUCAUUUUUCAAAUUCAUUUUCUCCUAGGGCAUGCUGCAGCCUGGCUCAUGCUGACUACCAUCAGAAGGCAGCUAUGAGGUGUGAAAGCUGUAGGAUUCCCAUACAGUUAAGACACUAGGAAAAGGAUUUCUGAUGAGCCCUGACUUCAGUUAUGGUACAGAUGUCCAUCUAAAGAAUGGAUAAGGACGGUAAGUGAUUUUUACAAGUCGGAGACCCCCUGAUACUUGUAUGUGAGGGAAGAUGCAGGUGCCCUAUAAAGAACUGGCAUCCCACCCACUGUGGUCUUGCCCAGUGCCUGCCAGGUUGGGC
RNAcentral lists this long non-coding RNA (459 nucleotides) under Lepisosteus oculatus (spotted gar). Its description in RNAcentral is "lncRNA (ENSLOCG00000022824.1)". Lineage: Eukaryota; Metazoa; Chordata; Actinopteri; Semionotiformes; Lepisosteidae. The record is from RNAcentral.